Long non-coding RNA from Oncorhynchus gorbuscha (pink salmon), 2032 nucleotides. RefSeq lists it as uncharacterized. Lineage: Eukaryota; Metazoa; Chordata; Actinopteri; Salmoniformes; Salmonidae. The transcript has 3 exons. The record is from RefSeq and is a predicted model, not a curated record.
AGGAUGAUGAUAUUGAAAGUCUUCUUGCUCCACAAGCAAAGUAAAGACAGUGUCAGCAGCAGAGAGAGGAAGAAGGGAGGAAGAGCAGGGCAUAGCGCAACAGACAUGUCCUCUGCAGGAUGGGGGGAGGUGGUUAUUGCUGAGGCUUCAGUAUCUUCUGCCUCUGUGGUACAAAGCUAAGAGAAUGAUGGGACAUCGGAGGCAAAGAGCAAGACAAACAGGAGGAGUAGGAGUCCCUGAGUCAUAGGGAGGCGUUGCUAAUGUGUGUAUCCAGCACAGUACAGUGAAGGUGUCCUCAGUGUUCCAUAACAUCACCUACGGGAACCUCAGGACUCUGAUGAUGGCAUCGUCAUGGCAAUGACCUGGCCAGAUCCGGCAAAAGUGAUACACAUGCCAGUGGAUGACUGACAUGGAGGCCAAAGCAAAGAUCAAUGCCUUCUCUACCCUCAUUUUCCUGCUGCAGCCCGAAGACUGCCUCAACACAUUGGUUGAGUUCAGUAGCCAUUGCUUAGCUUGUGAAAAUAUGAAUAAUGGCCAGACAAUGGGUAGAAUACUCCUUUUACAGUCCCUAGUGUUGUAAUGGACAGUGUCUAUCUUUUACAGAUCCAUGGGGUGAAUUGUGCUUGCUGCUUCUUGUGACCUCUGUAGCUAUUGUACCAUGUUCUUUUUGUUGUAUAUUUCUGUCAACAAUUCUACUCAUAUUAUAGGCCAUUGUAAUUGUGUUGAAGUCAUUUAUUGAACAGUACUCCAAUGGAAGGAAAUAUCUAAAUAUGUUGGACUGAAGAACUGUCCAUGUUCUAUUCACAGCAAUGAAGUAGUAAUAAUACUCAUCUAAUCGUGGAAGUUGGCAACAAUGGAGAUUUCUAUAUAGAAGUAUCAGACAAUUAUGCUAUUAGUGUUGACAAAAACUGUACCCUUGACAACUGCCGAUUUCUAUCUAGAAUAUAUUAUAACAUACAGGUAACUGCCAAAAUAAAGGAAACACCAACAUAAAGCAUCUAAAUAGUGCGUUGGACCUCCACGAGCCAGAACAGCUUCAAUGCACCUCGGCAUAGAUUCUACAAGUGUCUGGAACUCUAUUGGAGGAAUGCGACACCAUUCUUCCACAAUAAAUUCCAUCUGGUGUUUUGUUGGUUGUGGUGGAAAACGCCAUCUCAGGCACCGCUCCAGAAUCUCCCAUAAGUGUUGAAUUGGGUUGAUAUGUGGUGACUGAGACGGCUAUGGCAUAUGGUUUACAUCUCAUCAAACCAUUCAGUGACCACUCACGCCUGUGGAUGGGGGCAUGGCCAUGGUAGCCAAAAUAAUGGCCUGCCCAGCAUUUUUAUACAUGACCAUAAGCAUGAUGGGAUGUUAUUGCUUAAUUAACUCAGGAACUACACCUGUGUGGAAGCACCUGCUUUUAAUAUGCUUUGUCUCUCAUUUACUCAUGUUUCUAUAUUUUGGCAGUUACCUGUAGUACAGUACACAAAUUAUUUUGGCACUGAGGUCAUAGUAAGACAUCUGGUACAGAUACAUGUGUAAAAGACAAAAGUCUUGAAAGUCCCAUUUAAAAUAGCUAAAACACCACUGGCCCCUGUCCCUCAGGAAUGCAGACCCAGCUAGUUGACCAAGUGCCAGGUCUGCAUAUUCCCGGGCAUGUGCAUGUCUGGCUUGCACCACCUGUCUCACCACUAGGUCUGAAAAGACCAUCCUGGUGGAGGGCAACAUCUGGGCGACACGCUCUAAAUCCUCCCUCAACCUGCGCACUAGAUCUGGGCCUCUGGCAUUUUGCAGACCAUUUGGAAAGUCAUUUUGAAUGUAUCCCAGAUUGGACAUGCAAGACCAGGAUGUCUGGUGUUGGAAGGGGGAAGGCAUAAAUAAUGUUUCAUUCUCUUUAGUAUGGAGAAGUAUACAGCUAGCUGUGUGGAGGCUGGCCCUCCUCAGUGUCUCCCUUACUGCGUUUGGCUGGCAGGCUGGAGUCAUGAGCCUUCCUAAUGUGGCGGUACAGGUCACCUGACUGCGUGUAGCUACGGUAACAGUAGCGGCACUCGUA